UACAUGGGGUGCAAACGUUGCUCGGAAUUAUUGGGCGUGAAGCGCACGUAGGCGGUUCGUUAAGUCGGAUGUGAAAGCCCUCGGCUCAACUGAGGAAGUGCACCCGAAACUGGCGAGCUUGAGUACGAAAGAGGAUCGCGGAAUUCCCGGUGUAGAGGUGAAAUUCGUAGAUAUCGGGAGGAACACCGGUGGCGAAGGCGGCGAUCUGGGUCGAUACUGACGCUGAGACGCGAAAGCGUGGGGAGCGAACAGG
Molecule: ribosomal RNA, 253 nt
Filed under: uncultured bacterium
Lineage: Bacteria
Description: partial 16S ribosomal RNA
Rfam family: Bacterial small subunit ribosomal RNA
Source: RNAcentral